UGCUGUGAGCUCGAUGAGUAGGGCGGGACACGUGGUAUCCUGUCUGAAUAUGGGGGGACCAUCCUCCAAGGCUAAAUACUCCUGACUGACCGAUAGUGAACCAGUACCGUGAGGGAAAGGCGAAAAGAACCCCGGCGAGGGGAGUGAAAAAGAACCUGAAACCGUGUACGUACAAGCAGUGGGAGCACCCUUUGGGGUGUGACUGCGUACCUUUUGUAUAAUGGGUCAGCGACUUAUAUUCUGUAGCAAGGUUAACCGAAUAGGGGAGCCGGAGGGAAACCGAGUCUUAAUUGGGCGUUAAGUUGCAGGGUAUAGACCCGAAACCCGGUGAUCUAGCCAUGGGCAGGUUGAAGGUUGGGUAACACUAACUGGAGGACCGAACCGACUAAUGUUGAAAAAUUAGCGGAUGACCUGUGGCUGGGGGUGAAAGGCCAAUCAAACCGGGAGAUAGCUGGUUCUCCCCGAAAGCUAUUUAGGUAGCGCCUCGUGAAUUCAUCUCCGGGGGUAGAGCACUGUUUCGGCUAGGGGGCCAUCCCGGCUUACCAACCCGAUGCAAACUGCGAAUACCGGAGAAUGUUAUCACGGGAGACACACGGCGGGUGCUAACGUCCGUCGUGAAGAGGGAAACAACCCAGACCGCCAGCUAAGGUCCCAAAGUCAUGGUUAAGUGGGAAACGAUGUGGGAAGGCCCAGACAGCCAGGAUGUUGGCUUAGAAGCAGCCAUCAUUUAAAGAAAGCGUAAUAGCUCACUGGUCGAGUCGGCCUGCGCGGAAGAUGUAACGGGGCUAAACCAU
RNAcentral lists this ribosomal RNA (794 nucleotides) under Salmonella enterica. RNAcentral describes it as "partial 23S ribosomal RNA". It matches the Rfam family "Bacterial large subunit ribosomal RNA", at positions 395 to 1190 of the family's 2925-position model. RNAcentral also lists the same sequence under 1 other name. Lineage: Bacteria; Pseudomonadati; Pseudomonadota; Gammaproteobacteria; Enterobacterales; Enterobacteriaceae. The record is from RNAcentral.